This 111-nucleotide small nuclear RNA is filed under the name Echinops telfairi (small Madagascar hedgehog). Its description in RNAcentral is "U11 spliceosomal RNA (ENSETEG00000023942.1)". It matches the Rfam family "U11 spliceosomal RNA". Lineage: Eukaryota; Metazoa; Chordata; Mammalia; Afrosoricida; Tenrecidae. The record is from RNAcentral.
AAAAAGGGCUUCUGUUGUUAAGUGGCACACAUGUGGAAUCGACAUCAAGAGAUUUUAGAAGCGUAAUUUUUGUUAUCUGGGCUGCUAGUGAUCGUUGGUCCUGGUGCCCUA